CACCCGGACCCCUGACAGGCCAGCGGCCCUCCGCUGUCCCCCUACAGACAGAAGACUAGGCGUUCAACUGAGGUGCCGAUACAUUUAAGAGUGCUUGCUUUAAUUACAGCUAUUGUAGUUUAUUGUGAUGACACUCAGAUGCAGUACCUGACAUGUUCCAGCACCACCCUCUGAGAAUCCUGCACAGAUGUUCCAGGAGGUCAGACCCAGUCUGCGGCAGUCUCUGCUGGGCAGUAAUGGGACCUGAGCGUUGUCUGCAGGCUACAGAGCCCAGGUGAGAAUCCCAGCCUUCAGAGCACACAGUCCUCCAUGAGCCCCUACUGAACACCUGCAGCACAGAGCUCCUGCCACUCACACGCACUGAGAGAGAGACUGAGAGGUUAGGGUCGGGUUUGAGGAUUGUGAAAGGUCAAGAAGAGAAGGAUAGGAUCAACCCACCACAGCUGAGCUCAUCUUCUCCAUCUCCACAGUCCUCGACUCCAUCACACACAGCAUUUCUGCUGAUACACUGAACCGACGACAAACAGCGGAACUUUCCUGAGCAACUCUUCAGACCCACUGGAGAAAAAGAGGUUGAAUGCAUGAUGAUGUCACACACACACACACACACACACUCCUGUCUAAAGGUAGUUUACACAACCAUCUGUUAGCAGUGAGCUGUCGUCAGAGCAGGGUGGAGCUCAUUAAACAUUUACAGUUCCCACUGCUCAGGAUGAGUUUCAUUUAAUGAGGAGGACACUUACUUACCUUCACACACAUAUAUUUUCUUGCCAUGGUGGGGAAUUGCUUUUGACUUCUCUUGUCUAAUCCUAAGCUAAUAAUAUUUUUUCCCAUAAGCCUAUACCUGACCCUAACAUUUUUUUUUAUUUUUAUUUCCAUUUAGAAAUUAUUUAGUUUGUCAGGUUUAAGUUUGUAUGGUUUAGUUAAAUCUGCCCAAACACAGGUUAAUAUAUUUGUAUAUUUGGAAUCAUUUAGUUUUUCGUUUUUUUUUUUUUAAAUGUAAUAUUGUGAAACAUUUUUUUAAACAACUUUUUAUUUUAAUAUAUUUUAACAUUUAAUUUAUUUCUGUUAUUUCUGUGUCCCUAAAGGCAGGGUUGGUUAGAUUUAAAUAACCUCUGGGGGACAAUUUUGCUCCCAAAUUAAAAAAAAAAAAAAAAAAAAAAAACAGACUCACCUCCCAAACCUAUUCCUAGAACCAGAACCAAGACAAUAAGCAAUCCCAAGAUGAUAAGCAGAGCCAGCAAUCUGCGAGACACAUACGGCCAACACAAAGACUUCAAGUCUGACAGUCUUUCUCCUGAGAGACGGAGAGAGAGGGAGAGAGACGGCUGAAUAAAACCAGUCUGCUAAAGGCCAGAGCUGCCAGCGGAGGAAGACUGAUUAGAUCACUGUUAGCAUCUUAAGUGUCCGUCUUCUAACCCCUGUGUAACUGGCCGUGUAAAGUACACGCUGAAGCCAUUUUAGAUUGUACUUACACAAUGUGACACACCAAGAAAGCGAGAAGCCUGCUUACCGUCCA
Long non-coding RNA from Cyprinus carpio (common carp), 1519 nucleotides. RefSeq lists it as uncharacterized. The transcript is spliced from 3 exons. The record is from RefSeq and is a predicted model, not a curated record. Lineage: Eukaryota; Metazoa; Chordata; Actinopteri; Cypriniformes; Cyprinidae.